Molecule: long non-coding RNA, 1306 nt
Filed under: Numida meleagris (helmeted guineafowl)
Lineage: Eukaryota; Metazoa; Chordata; Aves; Galliformes; Numididae
Description: lncRNA (ENSNMEG00000013663.1)
Source: RNAcentral
AGAAGAAACAUGAAUGGAAAUUAUGCUUAUUCCUUUGUGGUAUUGGCUAUAGAGGCACUUCAAGAAGAACCAGCAGUAGGAAUAAAAGAACUUUUAUAAUAAAUCCCCAGAUUCCAUAUCACGUUUUCACCUUUUGUCUCUUAACACUCUGGGCUCUUAGAACUCUGGGCUAAAUUUGCUAGAAAUGACUGUCAGUUUCUGUUAAAGAUUCUGCUUUUAACAAAUACUUUUUUUAGGGAUUGAUCUAUUACAAAUAAUUCUUUACAAAGGAAUUACCUGUGGUCUUUAUCAGUGAAAAAUACGAAGUCUUAGAGUAUGUCUAUACUGUACAUGCAUCUGUGUCAUCAGCAAGCUGUUCUGGAGAGAAUGAAUCAAUGUAUAAAUGUAAGAGCAGAUGCUAUUUGAAUCAAAUGGACUAUUUUAUAUGUGGGGUCUUGGGGUGGUGUGUGAGAACUGCUGAGUCAUGGCCUGAAGCAUUGAUUGAGCACCUGGAGGAAAGACCCAGUCAGCCCUGGGAGCACAGGUGAAGGCAAUUCACCUGUGUGACCAGAAGGGGGUGGAGCCUGGCUCCGCCCCUCUUAGGCCUCAUCUAAUAGCUGACUGCCACUGAGGAAGGAUCACUUUCUGGAGAUCCCCACUUGGUGGAUGUUUUUCCCUGUGAGCCCAGAAUUUUCUGAUAUGGGUGAGUGAUUUACUUCCCUUCCUUUGUAUCACUUUGCUAUUGUGCUGAUCCUUCCACGUCUUUUGUAAUGCCUUUUCUGUCUGUUGGGCCUGAUUGCUACAUGUGGUUUUGUUAAUUGUUUUUGUUUGUUUGUUUUUGACAAUACAGUGGUUUGACCAGUAAUAGAAAUACUCAGAAUAGAAAUGCCAACUGGGCAUACCUGAAGAAGGGGUGUAACCAUGCCCUCAUUAAUAACCCACCACACAUUUAAAACUCUACCAUAUUUUAUAGUGUACCCCAAGGACAUGGUUAUGAUUGCUUGGACCAAAAAUAAAAGUGUAAAGAGGGAGUAUUACAUUCCAAGAAAUGGAGGCAUCUUGGCCAUCAACUCCAAGCUGACAAGUAAGUGUCAUGAUAAAAAAUAUCUAAUUUGUUUUGAAGAUUAACCAGUUCAGUGUUCUAGAGUGGAAGGAAACUGUGGGUGUCACAAUCCAUUGCCUAGAGCAGGUUCAGCUAGGUCUUAGCUGAUUUUGAUUCAGAUCCUUCCAGUUCAUGGCAGCUACUGUUGAAUUCCAUUGGGGUUUCAAGUCUGGUAGAUAAACAUGUUCUGGUUUUUGUUUAAACUAUAGUUUUAAUCUUAUAAAU